This 468-nucleotide ribosomal RNA is filed under the name uncultured bacterium. Its description in RNAcentral is "partial 16S ribosomal RNA". It matches the Rfam family "Bacterial small subunit ribosomal RNA", at positions 28 to 507 of the family's 1533-position model. The record is from RNAcentral.
GACGAACGCUGGCGGCGUGCUUAACACAUGCAAGUCGAACGGAAAGGCCCUGCUUUUGUGGGGUGCUCGAGUGGCGAACGGGUGGGUAACACGUGAGUAACCUGCCCUUGACUUUGGGAUAACUUCAGGAAACUGGGGCUAAUACCGGAUAGGAGCUCCUGCUGCAUUGUGGGGGUUGGAAAGUUUCGGCGGUUGGGGAUGGACUCGCGGCUUAUCAGCUUGUUGGUGGGGUAGUGGCUUACCAAGGCUUUGACGGGUAGCCGGCCUGAGAGGGUGACCGGCCACAUUGGGACUGAGAUACGGCCCAGACUCCUACGGGAGGCAGCAGUGGGGAAUAUUGCACAAUGGGCGGAAGCCUGAUGCAGCAACGCCGCGUGCGGGAUGACGGCCUUCGGGUUGUAAACCGCUUUCGCCUGUGACGAAGCGUGAGUGACGGUAAUGGGUAAAGAAGCACCGGCUAACUACGUG